RNAcentral lists this ribosomal RNA (466 nucleotides) under uncultured Anaerolineaceae bacterium. Its description in RNAcentral is "bacterial SSU rRNA". It matches the Rfam family "Bacterial small subunit ribosomal RNA", at positions 900 to 1382 of the family's 1533-position model. The record is from RNAcentral. Lineage: Bacteria; Bacillati; Chloroflexota; Anaerolineae; Anaerolineales; Anaerolineaceae.
CUUAAAUGAAUUGACGGGGACCCGCACAAGCAGCGGAGCGUGUGGUUUAAUUCGUUGCUACACGAAGAACCUUACCUGGGUUUGACAUAUAAGUUGUAGGGAACUGAAAAGGGACCGACCUUCGGGAGCCUAUACAGGUGUUGCAUGGCUGUCGUCAGCUCGUGUCGUGAGAUGUUCGGUUAAGUCCGCUAACGAGCGCAACCCUCGUCGUAUGUUAUAUGUGUCAUACGAGACUGCCGGUAAAAGCCGGAGGAAGGUGAGGAUGAUGUCAAGUCAGCAUGACCUUUAUAUCCAGGGCUACACACACGCUACAAUGGUCUGUACAAUGGGUAGCCAAGCCGCGAGGCGGAGCCAAUCCUGAAAGCAGGCCUCAGUUCAGAUUGCAGUCUGCAACUCGACUGCAUGAAGCCGGAGUUGCUAGUAACCGCAGGUCAGCAAUACUGCGGUGAAUACGUUCCCGGGUCUU